AUAUUAUAAAUGGUGUUCGUCUUAUUGUAGCUUCUUUUUGUCCAUAUUAGUUAGGAGCGUUUAUAGCGAUAUACUUUUCAUGGAAUCCGGUAAAAAUUUUUAUUGGUGUAAUCGAUAACCGAAUCGAUAAGCCCCCAAAAUCGAUAAAUCGAAAUUGAAAAAUCGAAACCUUAUUGAAAUGAUAACGAUAAGCAUAUGUACAAAUUGAUAAUCGAUAAGUAAUUAUCGAUAAGAGUCAAAAUCGAAUCGAUAAAUCGAAUGCACACCCCUAUGCUGAGGUCUAUGUCAUUAAAGUGUUGAGAAAUGAUCCUAAAAACACAAGCAAGAGGGGGAAA
RNAcentral lists this long non-coding RNA (335 nucleotides) under Nicotiana benthamiana. Its description in RNAcentral is "long non-coding RNA (NBEN_LNC030145)". Lineage: Eukaryota; Viridiplantae; Streptophyta; Magnoliopsida; Solanales; Solanaceae. The record is from RNAcentral.